Molecule: transfer RNA, 74 nt
Filed under: Parcubacteria group bacterium CG10_big_fil_rev_8_21_14_0_10_38_31
Lineage: Bacteria
Description: tRNA-Gly
Rfam family: tRNA
About the family: Transfer RNA (tRNA) molecules are approximately 80 nucleotides in length. Their secondary structure includes four short double-helical elements and three loops (D, anti-codon, and T loops).
Source: RNAcentral
GCGGGUAUAGUUUAGUGGUAGAAUGACUGCCUUCCAAGCAGUAUACGGGAGUUCGAUUCCCCCUACCCGCACAA